Molecule: ribosomal RNA, 554 nt
Filed under: Colletotrichum sp. JK74
Lineage: Eukaryota; Fungi; Ascomycota; Sordariomycetes; Glomerellales; Glomerellaceae
Description: eukaryotic LSU rRNA
Rfam family: 5.8S ribosomal RNA (bases 228-381)
Source: RNAcentral
GGAAGUAAAAAAUCGUAACAAGGUCUCCGUUGGUGAACCAGCGGAGGGAUCAUUACUGAGUUUACGCUCUACAACCCUUUGUGAACAUACCUAUAACUGUUGCUUCGGCGGGUAGGGUCUCCGUGACCCUCCCGGCCUCCCGCCCCCGGGCGGGUCGGCGCCCGCCGGAGGAUAACCAAACUCUGAUUUAACGACGUUUCUUCUGAGUGGUACAAGCAAAUAAUCAAAACUUUUAACAACGGAUCUCUUGGUUCUGGCAUCGAUGAAGAACGCAGCGAAAUGCGAUAAGUAAUGUGAAUUGCAGAAUUCAGUGAAUCAUCGAAUCUUUGAACGCACAUUGCGCCCGCCAGCAUUCUGGCGGGCAUGCCUGUUCGAGCGUCAUUUCAACCCUCAAGCUCUGCUUGGUGUUGGGGCCCUACAGCUGAUGUAGGCCCUCAAAGGUAGUGGCGGACCCUCCCGGAGCCUCCUUUGCGUAGUAACUUUACGUCUCGCACUGGGAUCCGGAGGGACUCUUGCCGUAAAACCCCCAAUUUCCAAAGGUGACCUCGGAUCAG